GGCGCGCCGGGCCACUCGGUCACCUAGUGUUAUCCUCUACAGUGUGUUGUGCUGUGCUAUAGUCGGCGCGCGUCCCGUCGUUUAGUGUGCCGUUUGUUUGUGGUCGCGGCUCCUAAGCACACUGUCCAUCACGCGCUCUCAUCUUUCCUACUCUGCGGACAUAAUUUAUCUUCGAAUAUUUUUAUACCAGCAAAUUUCGUCAGCUCUAAUUGAUAUUGUUGUUUUGUAUUACAUUAUUGAACGUGUCAGCCGUUGACGACGACGCCCGAUCAUAACGCGUUGUGUAUAUCGACCGUUCGAUGGUGGUGAUGUGUAGCAUGUUAUUAUUGCUGUCUUUCGUCCAGUCCCCGUACUGCUACGUCCGUCCCGCUGUACCUGCCCGCUGCCGUGCCGAGAACGUGUCAUUCUGAAGAAACAGAGGCCGUUGUCACUGCCAUUAAUCUUCAUAACGUAACAAGCGUAAAAUCUGUACAGUAAUCACGGUUGUUGUUGUUGUUCAUUAGGUUGUGCAACGGGACGACGUCAUAAAUAUAGUUCACCUUAAGCCUAUACUACAGAAAUAUGGGCUGUUUUGGUAGCAAAGAUAAACUAUCUAAAGAGGAUAUGGAUUUCCUCAAGUCGCACACCAGGUACGACGAAGCAACCAUUAAAGAAUGGUAUAAAGGAUUCAAAUUAUACAUGUUGGUCUGGU
Molecule: long non-coding RNA, 691 nt
Organism: Daktulosphaira vitifoliae (grape phylloxera)
Lineage: Eukaryota; Metazoa; Arthropoda; Insecta; Hemiptera; Phylloxeridae
Exons: 3
Source: RefSeq, a predicted model, not a curated record